CACACGGUUUGUUCAAGACUAAAGAAUAAAAAGAGCUGAUACUGGGGAUAGGAGCGGCCACUGUUAUAAGUGAGACGUUGGGAAGGUAGGAUAUAUAAGGUUAUUUCAUUUAUAUCUGUAAGCAAUGAGAAACGAUUGCUUGACGAAAGACGAUUCGGAGCGCAGUUCGGUUAAACAUAUUUUUUGCGAUUUUCGUUUAAAUUUGAUUUU
Non-coding RNA from Cinara cedri, 210 nucleotides. The record is from the annotation of a GenBank genome assembly. NCBI's taxonomy places the organism in Eukaryota, Metazoa, Arthropoda, Insecta, Hemiptera, Aphididae.